CAGCCGUAAACUAUGCUCGCUAGGUGUCAGGCAUGGCGCGACCGUGUCUGGUGCCGCAGGGAAGCCGUGAAGCGAGCCACCUGGGAAGUACGGCCGCAAGGCUGAAACUUAAAGGAAUUGGCGGGGGGAGCACCACAACAGGUGGAGCCUGCGGUUUAAUUGGACUCAACGCCGGGAAGCUCACCGGAUAGGGACAGCAGAAUGAUUGCCGGGCUGAAGACCCUGCAUGACUAGCUGAGAGGAGGUGCAUGGCGUAGACGUCU
Molecule: ribosomal RNA, 263 nt
Filed under: uncultured archaeon
Lineage: Archaea
Description: partial 16S ribosomal RNA
Rfam family: Archaeal small subunit ribosomal RNA
Source: RNAcentral